Drosophila willistoni is the source of this 86-nucleotide microRNA precursor. It matches the Rfam family "mir-927 microRNA precursor family". The record is from Rfam. NCBI's taxonomy places the organism in Eukaryota, Metazoa, Arthropoda, Insecta, Diptera, Drosophilidae.
UGACAUUGGUAGCGUUUUAGAAUUCCUACGCUUUACCGUCGCCUACGAAACUCGGCAAAGCGUUUGGAUUCUGAAACAUUAUCUCU